GAUGAAGAACGCAGCGAAAUGCGAUACGUAAUGUGAAUUGCAGAAUUCAGUGAAUCAUCGAGUCUUUGAACGCACAUUGCGCCCCCUGGUAUUCCGGGGGGCAUGCCUGUCCGAGCGUCAUUGCUGCCCUCAAGCACGGCUUGUGUGUUGGGCCUCCGCCCCCCGGCUCCCGGGGGGCGGGCCCGAAAGGCAGCGGCGGCACCGCGUCCGGCCCUCGAGCGUAUGGGGCUUCGUCACCCGCUCCGUAGGCCCGGCCGGCGCCCGCCGGCGACCCCCCUCAAUCUUUCCAGGUUGACCUCGGAUCAGGUAGGGAUACCCGCUGAACUUAAGCAUAUCAAUAAGCGGAGGA
Molecule: unclassified non-coding RNA, 349 nt
Filed under: soil metagenome
Description: partial contains 5.8S ribosomal RNA, internal transcribed spacer 2, and large subunit ribosomal RNA
Rfam family: 5.8S ribosomal RNA (bases 1-120)
Source: RNAcentral